CCGAGGCCCGUAGUAAGCCUGAAACACUAGAAUCUAUUAUCUCGGUAUAAAUUUCAACAUUCAGCCCAUAUGAUUAUGAAAAAUAAACCUCAACAUUUUAUUAGUUCUCGGCCCAAGUUUAUCUUCUACAACAUUCUAUAGUUCGGGCCCAGUUUACAAUACAUCACAUUCUAAUAUGGCUUACAGAAUUAUUUUGUCUAUGUUAAUUCACGACUAAAUAUAUGUAAAUCCUACAACUGCGGAGUCACUAACUCUUUGGCAUACAUAGCUUUUUAUACACAUAAUUACAUAGUGAAAUAAUUAUGGAACUAGGAAAAUUUCUCUAUUGCCCUACGCCGAAGAAACAUAGCCUAAAUCGGAUUAAAGAAAAACUUACUUCCUGAAAAAUCAAACAAGACGUGAGUUUUCUAAGGAGUAAUAAUUAUUGCACAACACACGCAGUCACACAAAUGUGUAAACAUAUCAAUCUAGUCAUCCGACUAGUUAUAUGCUCACGCAGCCAGUCACACAAUGUUUUUCCAUUCUCUCUUUUCUUUUCCAUACCAACAGGAGGCAACCCGGUGGUCUCCAUCCAAUCUAGAUCAUCAAGCGCUCACAACAGGAGGCCACCCUGCGGGCUGUAAUCAAAUCUAGAUUUUCAGGUGCGCAACAAUAAGCGGCCAUCCUGUGGUUUCAGAAUAAACAAAAUUAUCAGGUGCACACGGGGGCGCCGAUCUCCCAUUUACCCGGCUAACAGAAACAGAAUCAGGAUCCAUAUAACAUCAGAAUAUAACAGAAAUCAGAAUCAGGAUCCGUAUAACAGAAACAGUCUCACAAACCCAUGGUGACCCACUUCAUCCCAAUUCCACACAAGCAAAGCACAGUAUAUGCACAGCACAAGUAAUCAAACAAUUCUUUCAAAACAUAUUAAUCAAUUAGACAUCCAACAUCAAAUGCAAAUAAAUAAGUAAAUAGUGUUAACAAUAAACAAUAAUAAUAAAAUAAAUAAUAAUAAUGAUAAACAAUAACAAUGAAAAUAAAUAAAUAAAUAUUGGAAUACUUAAAUGAAUAAUAAUGAAAAUAAACAAAUAAUUAGAGUACUUUAUAUUUAUUAUGUAUCAAAUUAUAGAAUUUAUUUAAAUAAACUUAUUAAUUAUAUUGUUAAUUAAAACUAAUCUAAAUUCUAUCGAAAUUUCGGCAGCAUCUCCCCUAAAAAUGAGAUUAUCUACCUGCUUAAAUAUCAGCAAUAUUACAUCCAUCAACCAUUACACACACAGCCCAUCCAUCGGGCAAUCAAACAAAUUAAUUUCCCUUCCUUCGUCCAAAAUAAUCACAUCAAUAUUUAAUCGUUAAUGUCAAGCUUCAACUUAUUAUAUAACAUUAAGUAAAUAAAUAAAUAAGCAAAUAAAUGAAAAAUAGCUAUUUGCUUAACCUCCACACAUUACUAGUUAAACAAUUUAAUAUAGACCCUUAACAAUCAUAUAAAACUAUAGCUUAUGUAUUCAAUAAUCAUCAACUAAAUUCGGAGUUUUUCGAUACCAAAAUUAUAUAUUACACAUUAACUAAUCAAUCUCAUAAAUCAUCUAUAAUUUAUACAUGUCUUUCUUUCUUCAUACCAUUACUAGAACCGACUUUCUAAUCAAACUCACAUAUAUAUACACUUAAUAGUUCCAAAUUAACUAAUUAAUAAAUUAUAUUAACCUCGAAGCAUGAUUCAAUCAUACUACUAAUUGCUCUAAAACUAUUCACUUGUCUAAGCCUUAAUUUAUAACUUCUCCUAACAAUAUUUAUCCAAGUUCCUAAAUUAGCUUACAUCAAUAUUAUACCGAUUGCCUCUUAACAAAAUUAUAUUUGUUUGAUUAUUCAUCCAAAUUCAAUUUAAUUAACUAAUAUUUACUAAGUUUAUAAUUUACGCCGAAGAUAAAGAAACUGGUCUUAGAACGUACCAAUUGAGAAUCGGGCGACGAUUCCACGAUCAGCGCGAAGAGAAGAGCAUUCUGUCUCUCGGGGCCUCGCCGGAGUGUCGCCGGCCGGUCACCG
This 2019-nucleotide long non-coding RNA is filed under the name Jatropha curcas. RNAcentral's name for it is "long non-coding RNA (JCUR_LNC001521)". Lineage: Eukaryota; Viridiplantae; Streptophyta; Magnoliopsida; Malpighiales; Euphorbiaceae. The record is from RNAcentral.